GCUAUGAGAACAAUUAGUGGCAGACGGGUGAGUAAUGCAUAGGAAUCUACCUAGUAGUAUAGGAUAGCCACUAGAAAUGGUGGGUAAUACUGUAUAAUCCCUGCGGGGGAAAGAUUUAUCGCUACAUGAUGAGCCUAUGUUAGAUUAGCUAGUUGGUGGGGUAAUGGCCUACCAAGGCAGUGAUCUAUAGCUGGUCUGAGAGGAUGAUCAGCCACACUGGAACUGAGACACGGUCCAGACUCCUACGGGAGGCAGCAGUGGGGAAUAUUGGACAAUGGGCGCAAGCCUGAUCCAGCUAUGCCGCGUGAGUGAGGAAGGCCUUAGGGUUGUAAAACUCUUUCAGUGGGGAAGAUAAUGACGGUACCCACAGAAGAAGUCCCGGCAAACUCCGUGCCAGCAGCCGCGGUAAUACGGAGGGGGCAAGCGUUGUUCGGAAUUAUUGGGCGUAAAGGGCAUGUAGGUGGUUUGGUAAGUUAAAGGUGAAAUGCCAGGGCUUAACCCUGGAGCUGC
This 510-nucleotide ribosomal RNA is filed under the name Anaplasma bovis. RNAcentral describes it as "bacterial SSU rRNA". It matches the Rfam family "Bacterial small subunit ribosomal RNA", at positions 79 to 624 of the family's 1533-position model. Lineage: Bacteria; Pseudomonadati; Pseudomonadota; Alphaproteobacteria; Rickettsiales; Anaplasmataceae. The record is from RNAcentral.